GACGAACGCUGGCGGCGUGCUUAACACAUGCAAGUCGAACGGAAAGGCCCUGCUUUUGUGGGGUGCUCGAGUGGCGAACGGGUGAGUAACACGUGAGUAACCUGCCCUUGACUUUGGGAUAACUUCAGGAAACUGGGGCUAAUACCGGAUAGGAGCUCCUGCUGCAUGGUGGGGGUUGGAAAGUUUCGGCGGUUGGGGAUGGACUCGCGGCUUAUCAGCUUGUUGGUGGGGUAGUGGCUUACCAGGGCUUUGACGGGUAGCCGGCCUGAGAGGGUGACUGGCCACAUUGGGACUGAGAUACGGCCCAGACUCCUACGGGAGGCAGCAGUGGGGAAUAUUGCACAAUGGGCGGAAGCCUGAUGCAGCAACGCCGCGUGCGGGAUGACGGCCUUCGGGUUGUAAACCGCUUUCGCCUGUGACGAAGCGUGAGUGACGGUAAUGGGUAAAGAAGCACCGGCUAACUACGUG
This 468-nucleotide ribosomal RNA is filed under the name uncultured bacterium. RNAcentral describes it as "partial 16S ribosomal RNA". It matches the Rfam family "Bacterial small subunit ribosomal RNA", at positions 28 to 507 of the family's 1533-position model. The record is from RNAcentral.